RNAcentral lists this ribosomal RNA (460 nucleotides) under uncultured bacterium. RNAcentral describes it as "partial 16S ribosomal RNA". It matches the Rfam family "Bacterial small subunit ribosomal RNA", at positions 338 to 795 of the family's 1533-position model. The record is from RNAcentral.
CCUACGUGUAGCAGCAGUGAGGAAUAUUGGUCAAUGGACGAGAGUCUGAACCAGCCAAGUAGCGUGAAGGAUGCCUGCCCUAUGUGUUGUAAACUUCUUUUAUAAAGGAAUAAAACGCGGCACGUGUGCCUUUUUGCAUGUACUUUAUGACUCAUGAUCGGCUAACUCCGUGCCAGCAGCCUCGGUAAUACGGAGGAUCCGAGCUUUAUCCGGAUUUAUUGGGUUUAAAGGGUGCGUAGAUGGGUUGUUAAGUCAGUUGUGAAAGUUUGCGGCUCAACCGUAAAAUUGCAAUUGAUACUGGCAGUGUUGAGUACAGUUGAGGUAGGCGGAAUUCGUGGGGUAGCGGUGAAAUGCUUAGAUAUCACGAAGAACCCCGAUUGCGAAGGCAGAUUACUAAACUGUGACUGACAUUGAUGCUCGAAAGUGUGGGUAUCAAACAGGAUUAGAUACCCUUGUAGUC